CAUUGCGAGCGAGUGGCGAACUGGUGAGUAACACGUGGGAAACCUGCCCAGGAGCGGGGGGAUAACACGUGGAAACAGAUGCUAAUACCGCGUAACAACUUGGACCGCAUGGUCCGAGCUUGAAAGAUGGCUUCGGCUAUCACUUUUGGAUGGUCCCGCGGCGUAUUAGCUAGAUGGUGGGGUAACGGCUCACCAUGGCAAUGAUACGUAGCCGACCUGAGAGGGUAAUCGGCCACAUUGGGACUGAGACACGGCCCAAACUCCUACGGGAGGCAGCAGUAGGGAAUCUUCCACAAUGGACGAAAGUCUGAUGGAGCAACGCCGCGUGAGUGAAGAAGGGUUUCGGCUCGUAAAACUCUGUUGUUAAAGAAGAACAUAUCUGAGAGUAACUGUUCAGGUAUUGACGGUAUUUAACCAGAAAGCCACGGCUAACUACGUGCCAGCAGCCGCGGUAAUACGUAGGUGGCAAGCGUUGUCCGGAUUUAUUGGGCGUAAAGCGAGCGCAGGCGGUUUUUUAAGUCUGAUGUGAAAGCCUUCGGCUCAACCGAAGAAGUGCAUCGGAAACUGGGAAACUUGAGUGCAGAAGAAGACAGUGGAACUCCAUGUGUAGCGGUGAAAUGCGUAGAUAUAUGGAAGAACACCAGUGGCGAAGGCGGCUGUCUGGUCUGUAACUGACGCUGAGGCUCGAAAGUAUGGGUAGCAAACAGGAUUAGAUACCCUGGUAGUCCAUACCGUAAACGAUGAAUGCUAAGUGUUGGAGGGUUUCCGCCCUUCAGUGCUGCAGCUAACGCAUUAAGCAUUCCGCCUGGGGAGUACGGCCGCAAGGCUGAAACUCAAAGGAAUUGACGGGGGCCCGCACAAGCGGUGGAGCAUGUGGUUUAAUUCGAAGCUACGCGAAGAACCUUACCAGGUCUUGACAUACUAUGCAAAUCUAAGAGAUUAGACGUUCCCUUCGGGGACAUGGAUACAGGUGGUGCAUGGUUGUCGUCAGCUCGUGUCGUGAGAUGUUGGGUUAAGUCCCGCAACGAGCGCAACCCUUAUUAUCAGUUGCCAGCAUUAAGUUGGGCACUCUGGUGAGACUGCCGGUGACAAACCGGAGGAAGGUGGGGAUGACGUCAAAUCAUCAUGCCCCUUAUGACCUGGGCUACACACGUGCUACAAUGGAUGGUACAACGAGUUGCGAACUCGCGAGAGUAAGCUAAUCUCUUAAAGCCAUUCUCAGUUCGGAUUGUAGGCUGCAACUCGCCUACAUGAAGUCGGAAUCGCUAGUAAUCGCGGAUCAGCAUGCCGCGGUGAAUACGUUCCCGGGCCUUGUACACACCGCCCGUCACACCAUGAGAGUUUGUAACACCCAAA
RNAcentral lists this ribosomal RNA (1356 nucleotides) under Lactiplantibacillus plantarum subsp. plantarum. RNAcentral's name for it is "bacterial SSU rRNA". It matches the Rfam family "Bacterial small subunit ribosomal RNA", at positions 83 to 1425 of the family's 1533-position model. The record is from RNAcentral. Lineage: Bacteria; Bacillati; Bacillota; Bacilli; Lactobacillales; Lactobacillaceae.